ACUAGCGACGUCGUUUCUAACAGUUGUCUUCCCCACACUACAGACAGUGACAACCUAACGACGACGUCUGUCGAGGUUAACAUCGCCGUUACUGGCUUUAAACGCAAGUAGACAAAAGCACAGUUGUGUGUGUUUCUUGCUUAACUCGUUGUAUAGAUUUCAAACAAAGCGGUCUACCAAUCACGAUGGCUAAACAAACACGGUUGUACCUAGCUGUCAUCUUGUUGCUACUUUUCAUAACCCUGGAAGCCAGACACAUCCACCAUCACCAUCAUCACCGUCUGGCUCAAAGUCCAGAAUGCAGCCAGACAGGCCUACCGUGUAGCGGAAUUCCUUGUUGCUCUACAUCUGACCAAUGCACGUUUGACUUUAAUUGGGGCUAUUCUUACUGCUCACGUCGCUACAUCUGAUCACACAGCAUUGAGGCGGCAAAUAGUCCUCGUCGACUUCGACAGAAUAACAAGUGAAUGAUGUCGCCUGCUACAAAUGACCAUUGGAUGCUGGAUGUACCCAAAUAGUAACAACAACAACAGGGUGCGUCUGCCUACUGUCCGAUUCUGGGAUGUUAACGAAUCGCACGAGUAUAAGAUCACCGAGUUUGAAGCUGUUUCUAAAUUUACUGUGGUUCCAUGCAUUGAGGGAUUUUCACAGUUUUUAUUAAGUGUUCUGUUCUAUUCAAGAAAUUAAAGGAAAAAAUAAAUUCCAUUGAAAUGAAA
Pomacea canaliculata is the source of this 716-nucleotide long non-coding RNA. RefSeq lists it as uncharacterized. NCBI's taxonomy places the organism in Eukaryota, Metazoa, Mollusca, Gastropoda, Architaenioglossa, Ampullariidae. The record is from RefSeq and is a predicted model, not a curated record. The transcript is spliced from 5 exons.